AGAAUCAACGCUGGCGGCGUGCCUAACACAUGCAAGUCGAACGAGAAAGUGGAGCAAUCCAUGAGUAAAGUGGCGACCGGGUGAGUAACACGUGACUAACCUACCUUUGAGUGGGGGAUAACAUCGGGAAACCGAUGCUAAUACCGCAUAACAUCGCAAGAUCAAAGCAGCAAUGCGCUUAAAAGAGGGGGUCGCGGCUGAUUAGCUAGUUGGCGGGGUAACGCCCACAAGGCGAAGAUCGGUA
Molecule: ribosomal RNA, 244 nt
Filed under: uncultured bacterium
Lineage: Bacteria
Description: partial small subunit ribosomal RNA
Rfam family: Bacterial small subunit ribosomal RNA
Source: RNAcentral